CAGUCGCCGCGGUAAUACGUAGGUGGCAAGCGUUGUCCGGAAUUAUUGGGCGUAAAGGGCUCGCAGGCGGUUUCUUAAGUCUGAUGUGAAAGCCCCCGGCUCAACCGGGGAGGGUCAUUGGAAACUGGGAGACUUGAGUGCAGAAGAGGAGAGUGGAAUUCCACGUGUAGCGGUGAAAUGCGUAGAGAUGUGGAGGAACACCAGUGGCUAAGGCGACUCUCUGGUCUGUAACUGACGCUGAGGAGCGAAAGCGUGGGGAGCGAACAGGAUUAGAUACCCGCGUAGUCCCUGUCUCUUAUAC
Molecule: ribosomal RNA, 301 nt
Filed under: uncultured bacterium
Lineage: Bacteria
Description: partial 16S ribosomal RNA
Rfam family: Bacterial small subunit ribosomal RNA
Source: RNAcentral